UACGUAGGGGGCUAGCGUUGUCCGGAUUUAUUGGGCGUAAAGAGCGUGUAGGCGGUUUGGUAGGUCCGCUGUGAAAACUCGAGGCUCAACCUCGAGACGCCGGUGGAAACCAUCAGACUAGAGUCCGGAAGAGGAGAGUGGAAUUCCUGGUGUAGCGGUGAAAUGCGCAGAUAUCAGGAGGAACACCGGUGGCGAAGGCGGGUCUCUGGGCAGUAACUGACGCUGAGGAGCGAAAGCGUGGGGAGCGAACAGG
Molecule: ribosomal RNA, 253 nt
Filed under: uncultured bacterium
Lineage: Bacteria
Description: partial 16S ribosomal RNA
Rfam family: Bacterial small subunit ribosomal RNA
Source: RNAcentral